AUGGAUCAGCAAAAAAUUUCUUUUCAUUUUAUUGGUGUAAAAAAAAUCCCCAUUCUGAGCGUAAUUCAUCCCAACUGCUCAUUGUCUCCAUCUCUGCAUGGCUUUGCUGUAGGCAGGCUGCCCUCACUCUCUAGCUAUGGGGAUUCCAUGCAUCUGAAAGCAUGGAGGAGAGCUGAACAGACUAAUCUGUGGUCAUCCAAGAAAAACCACCCCACAGCCAACAACACUGACCACAAACACGCCGACAACCCUGGCAGAGACCAGAAGAAGCGCUCAGGUCACAUGAAGAACCAACACCAAGAGGGCUUUGGAAGGCAGACAAAGAGGAAUAAAACAAAAUCAACGGAAACUUCUGCAGAGCUGUGCCUGAUUGCGGACUCUGAGGAGGGAUGGAAGAGGUUUGUGUUCAGUGCGUUUCAGGUACGUUGA
RNAcentral lists this long non-coding RNA (429 nucleotides) under Sus scrofa (pig). RNAcentral describes it as "lncRNA (ENSSSCG00030010572.1)". Lineage: Eukaryota; Metazoa; Chordata; Mammalia; Artiodactyla; Suidae. The record is from RNAcentral.